AUUGAACGCUGGCGGCAUGCCUUACACGUGCGAGUCGAACGGUAACAGGUCUUCGGAUGCUGACGAGUGGCGAACGGGUGAGUAAUACAUCGGAACGUGCCUAGUAGUGGGGGAUAACUACUCGAAAGAGUGGCUAAUACCGCAUGAGAUCUACGGAUGAAAGCAGGGGAUCGCAAGACCUUGUGCUACUAGAGCGGCCGAUGGCAGAUUAGGUAGUUGGUGGGAUAAAAGCUUACCAAGCCGACGAUCUGUAGCUGGUCUGAGAGGACGAUCAGCCACACUGGGAAGAAGACACGGCCCAGACUCCUACGGGAGGCAGCAGUGGGGAAUGUUGGACAAUGGGCGAAAGCCUGAUCCAGCAAUGCCGCGUGCAGGAUGAAGGCCUCCGGGUUGUAAACUGCUUUGUACGGAACGAAAAGCCCCGGGUUAAUACCCUGGGGUCAUGACGGUACCGUAAGAAUAAGCACCGGCUAACUACGUGCCAGCCGCCGCGGUAA
This 497-nucleotide ribosomal RNA is filed under the name uncultured bacterium. Its description in RNAcentral is "partial 16S ribosomal RNA". It matches the Rfam family "Bacterial small subunit ribosomal RNA", at positions 30 to 523 of the family's 1533-position model. The record is from RNAcentral.